RNAcentral lists this ribosomal RNA (593 nucleotides) under uncultured fungus. RNAcentral's name for it is "eukaryotic LSU rRNA". The stretch from base 69 to 222 matches the Rfam family "5.8S ribosomal RNA". Lineage: Eukaryota; Fungi. The record is from RNAcentral.
UUACACACACACCCUUUUAAUGCAAUGUGUAGAAUGUCUUACUUUUUGCGAUCACACGCAAUCAAUACAACUUUCAACAACGGAUCUCUUGGCUCUCGCAUCGAUGAAGAACGCAGCGAAAUGCGAUACGUAAUGUGAAUUGCAGAAUUCAGUGAAUCAUCGAAUCUUUGAACGCACCUUGCGCCCUUUGGCAUUCCGAGGGGCACACCCGUUUGAGUGUCAUGACAUCCUCAAAACCUUCUUGGUUUCUUGACCAGGAAGGCUUUGGACUUUGGAGGCUUUUGCUGGCAUUCCUUUGUUGGAGCCAGCUCCUCUGAAAUGAAUUAGUGGGGUCUGCUUUGCCGAUCCUUGACGUGAUAAGAUGUUUUCUACGUCUUGGGUUUCGCACUGUUCCUGCUUCUAACCGGUCUCGUAGGAGACAAUGGUCACUUGACCCACAAACCUUGACCUCAAAUCGGGUGAGACUACCCGCUGAACUUAAGCAUAUCAAUAAGCGGAGGAAAAGAAACUAACAAGGAUUCCCCUAGUAACUGCGAGUGAAGCGGGAAAAGCUCAAAUUUAAAAUCUGGUGGUCUUUGGCCACCCGAGUUGAA